This is a non-coding RNA of Camellia sinensis, 632 nucleotides long. Lineage: Eukaryota; Viridiplantae; Streptophyta; Magnoliopsida; Ericales; Theaceae. The record is from RefSeq and is a predicted model, not a curated record.
CACACACACAUACCAGUAGCCAAGGAGAGGGUGAGAGAAGGAGAGUGUGAUUAAAGGGAAGUAGAGAAGAAGAAGAAAAGAAAAGGAAGAAAAUGGUACCUUCUUGAGUCAAGAUAUGGGGGGUGUGUGUGUUUUUACUGGGCAUUCCAAGCUCAUGGCGUGCCAUGCCAAGUGAUGAAGCAGUUUACAAUGGUGAAGGUUAUUUUGAUGGCAAAUAUGAUGAAGUGUUGGAGCUGUGGUUCAUUUGAAGACUUAGAUUAGUUUUUUUUUUUUUUUUUCUUUUAACUUUUGGUUUGGCAAUGUUUUGGUAAUCCUGUAAUGGAACAUAAACGAAUUGCCUGUGAUAUUAACUCUGGUUAUAUAUGUAUAUUAAGAUGUUUUGGUUAUCUAUCCUACUUGUAUUGUAUUAUUGUACGUAUUUAACGGCCCAGAAGUUGGGGCGUUACAAGACAACUCCUACGACUCCUCAGCACGAUAGGACCAAGGAACAUUCUCACCGACCUUCAAGGGAGGUUGGAUGAGGAGAAUCAAGAAGGGGAGAUUCACAUAGGACACAUCGCACCAAGGAAGCUGAAACCAAAGAACAUCGACAUGUUCAGGAGAAGGACCUUUGUUUCGACGCGACAAAUGGA